RNAcentral lists this ribosomal RNA (484 nucleotides) under uncultured bacterium. RNAcentral's name for it is "partial 16S ribosomal RNA". It matches the Rfam family "Bacterial small subunit ribosomal RNA", at positions 29 to 507 of the family's 1533-position model. The record is from RNAcentral.
AUUGAACGCUGGCGGAAUGCUUUACACAUGCAAGUCGAACGGCAGCACGGGGGCAACCUUGGUGGCGCGUGGCGAACGGGUGAGUAAUACAUCGGAACGUGCCCGGCCGUGGGGGAUAACGUAGCGAAAGUUACGCUAAUACCGCAUACGAUCUGAGGAUGAAAGCGGGGGACCUUCGGGCCUCGCGCGAUCGGAGCGGCCGAUGUGAGAUUGGGUAGUUGUGGGGGUAAAGGCCUACACAGCCGGCGAUCUGUAACUGGUCUGAGAGGACGACAAGCCACACUGGGACUGAGACACGGCCCAGACUCCUACGGGAGGCAGCAGUGGGUAAUUGUGGACGAUGGGCGCAAGCCUGAUCCAGCCAUUCCGCGUGCAGGACGAAGGCCUUCGGGUUGUAAACUGCUUUUGUAGGGAACGAAAAGGCUCUGGCUAAUACCUGGGGCUCAUGACGGUACCGUAAGAAUAAGCACCGGCUAACUACGUG